GGUAUGCUCAAUUGUUCCAUCUCAGUAGCUACUACUUUCAUCUUCCUAAUUGUGUACCCUACAUCCAUAUUUUUACCUUGUAGAACUUUUUCACAUUGCAUUUUCCAGAUGUACCAUGUUGUAUAUAAACCAUUCUAGUAAUCAAUUCCUUUCCCCUUAUGCCAUUCCUCAAAGAUUUGAUCGUUUGGUUGAGCCAAGAAUCAAAAGUACUGAUGUAUUCUCUUAGGAUUCUCAGCCCAAAACAAGUUUCGAACCAAACGGCUCUCACCUACUCACAACUCAGCAAUAAAUGUUCCACUAUUUCCUCCUCACUUCCACAUAUCUCACAAAUAGGGCUAGGCAGACAUCUCCUCUUCCAUAACCCUAAUCUAGUAGGUAGGGCAUUAGAGCAUCAUCUACAUAAAAAGAUCUUCAGUUUACAAGGGAUGAACGGCCAAACAAGUUUGUCCUCACCCUCAAUGUCAUAUAUAAUGGUUUUUUGUAUCGUUUCUUUUUCCUCUUUUGAUAACCAGCGUCCAAUGGUAGGAAGAUCCCAGCUCUUCUCAUCUUUUCUUAAUAUUUCUGCAACUCUUAUUGGUCUGUCUUAAGUUGCAUCCUUAAGAGGUAAUUCAGUCAAUUUACAGCCCUCAAUUCCCGCAAUCCAUCUAUCCCCCCAAAUCUGAACUUGAUCUCCAUUAAUAAUCUGCCAAAACAUGUUAUUCUUCAUAAAUUCCUUAGCUUCUAUCAGACUAUUCCAAGUCCAGGAAGCUCUCGACCCUCUACUAGCCUCAAUGAAAGAGUGAUUUGGGAAGUAUAAUCCUUUUAGAACACGAACCCAAAGAGCCUUUAGUUCCUGUAUGAUUCUCCAGCAUUUUUUCGCAAGAAGAGCAAGAUUGAACAGUUCCAAAUCUCUGAAUCAAGCCCUCUUUUAUCUUUUGUAGGUUAUAAAGUGGUCGUGCCUCAAGACUAAGGAUUUAAAUAGCAGUCUGAUACUUGUAUAGCGACCGCUAUAUAGUUGUAGCGGCACCAUCCGAAACCGCUAUUAUGUUUUACAAUAAGUUGUGCGAAUUUUAAAAAAAUUCACGACCGUGAUACCUCCAGUGACCGCAAUAGCAUCCGUUAUGUCCGCAACCGUGGUCAACGCAACGUGACCGAAAACACGGCCACGACCGCAAUUUAAAUCCCUGCUCAAGACUAUUUGCAGGCCACUCCCAUAGGUAGUAGUUGUUGCAUUGUGAGGCUAUUGAAACUCAUUUGUACCCUUAAUAAUAGUUAUAGUAAAAUGUUGAGUUGAAAUUUCGGACUCAAUAAAGACAGAUAUGGCUACUGAAUUAGGAUGUGGACAAUUACAAAUAUAAAUGUUAAGCAAAAUGUUGUCUGUGUUAUCA
This is a long non-coding RNA of Gossypium raimondii (Peruvian cotton), 1367 nucleotides long. RefSeq lists it as uncharacterized. Lineage: Eukaryota; Viridiplantae; Streptophyta; Magnoliopsida; Malvales; Malvaceae. The transcript has 2 exons. The record is from RefSeq and is a predicted model, not a curated record.